This 110-nucleotide non-coding RNA is filed under the name Heterosigma akashiwo. Lineage: Eukaryota; Raphidophyceae; Chattonellales; Chattonellaceae. The record is from RNAcentral.
AUAUUCAUGUUCAUUGUUUUCUUCAUUGUAUUUCUGUUGGAUUUUGUCGUUGUUCUGUCUUCAAGUUCGCGAGUUCUUGAGAGUGCAAUACAAAGCAAAGAAGUUCUGCG